Molecule: long non-coding RNA, 1139 nt
Filed under: Homo sapiens (human)
Lineage: Eukaryota; Metazoa; Chordata; Mammalia; Primates; Hominidae
Description: HSALNT0013673
Source: RNAcentral
UGAGCAAACAUGUGGCCAUGAAACAGAUGGUCAUAGAAUUGGUUCAGUGGUUGUGAGUGCAGCAACCCAAGAGUGUCUUAUCUGAAAUACCACCAGGAAUGCCUGGACACAGUAGACAAAGGUUGUUCAACUGGACGCCUUAGGAUACAUGCUUCCAAAAACAAAGUAGCUGAAAAGAAACUAGAAUAACAGGAUAUCAGAGCCAGAGGAGCAUUUGGAGGAGUACGGGAAGGAUGAAAUUACUUUUGAUGGAGAGAGCAUUUAGUGUCUCAGAGAGAAGACAGGACAUCAUUCAUCACUUUCAUGAUGGGGCCGGCAGAUACCACCAUGGUGACGUUUGUGGCAGAAGAGGUGGAGCCAGGGACUGGGGAGAAGAAACGCAAACACAUGAUGGGUUAAAAACUGGUGAAAUCGAAUAGGUUUAAUCAGGACUGAGGAAGGUCAGUAACUGAAAUUCUUAACUUACUGUUGAGAAAAACGUGAUCACUCCCCACAGCACUUUAAGAUCCUUCACCACAAAAACAAGGUUCGAGGUGCCUGAGCUCAGAGCUGAAGGCACUGCCUGUAGCUCAGACUCUGACAAGAGUGAGGUAGAUUGUGGCCAGCAUGCCAGGUAACGGUCUGCAGUUGCAAUAACAGAAUUAGAAGGUGGGGGUGUCAUGGAAUCUUAGGAGCCCUGCAUUCCAAUUGCCCAGGCUUUGCUGAAACACAGGCACCCUGGUCUCACUUGAGGGUCACCACCAAUGGGGAUCAUUCCUUCAGCAUUCACUCUCAGUAUUCGUGUACCCUUGUGACAAUGCCACAGACCCAUCUCUUUCCCAAUACAUCUAAGCAUAUUCCUCACUGUUUAUCUCUUGUCUGUACAACAUCAUCAACCAGAAACAGUUUCCCAACAGGUUAUAUUUUCUUAAUGGUAGUCAUGAAGUCACCCCACCUGCUCUAAGUUAAAACAGAGCUUAAGCCUUUUCCACAGGUAUAAGAUAUCAAACUUUUAGCCUGCCCUGAUAUCCUCUGGGUCUUCUGCAGUUUUUUCUGUAUCCACUAGAAAGUGAAUGAAUAAUUCAUUUUUUAAAAAUGUUUUCUUUCCUGUCUCAGUAUUCUUCUUGCUGCAUCCCAUGGUUAUGUUGAUUUCUUUUUUC